RNAcentral lists this non-coding RNA (46 nucleotides) under Schistosoma mansoni. Lineage: Eukaryota; Metazoa; Platyhelminthes; Trematoda; Strigeidida; Schistosomatidae. The record is from RNAcentral.
GCACUGCUAAGGAGUCGCAUAAUAGGACGAAACGGCCUUCCAGUGC